Molecule: ribosomal RNA, 466 nt
Filed under: uncultured bacterium
Lineage: Bacteria
Description: bacterial SSU rRNA
Rfam family: Bacterial small subunit ribosomal RNA
Source: RNAcentral
CAAGUGGUGGAGCAUGUGGUUUAAUUCGAUGAUACGCGAGGAACCUUACCUAGGCUAGAAUGCGCGUGACCGGCUCAGAGAUGAGCUUUUCCUUCGGGACACAAAGCAAGGUGCUGCAUGGCCGUCGUCAGCUCGUGCCGUGAGGUGUUGGGUUAAGUCCCGCAACGAGCGCAACCCCUAUGUUUAGUUGCCAGCAUGUAAUGAUGGGGACUCUAGACAGACUGCCUGCGCAAGCAGUGAGGAAGGCGGGGACGACGUCAGGUCAUCAUGGCCCUUACGCCUAGGGCGACACACGUGCUACAAUGGACGGUACAGCGGGUAGCUACUGGGCGACCAGAUGCCAAUCUCGAAAAGCCGUUCUCAGUUCGGAUCGGAGUCUGCAACUCGACUCCGUGAAGCUGGAAUCACUAGUAAUCGCGCAUCAGCCAUGGCGCGGUGAAUACGUUCCCGGGGCCUUGUACACACC